This 1246-nucleotide long non-coding RNA is filed under the name Anas platyrhynchos platyrhynchos (common mallard). RNAcentral describes it as "lncRNA (ENSAPLG00000016864.1)". Lineage: Eukaryota; Metazoa; Chordata; Aves; Anseriformes; Anatidae. The record is from RNAcentral.
GGCUAGAAUUGAUGGCACAUAGAAAAAGGGGCAUAUUGAGAAGGUCAACAAAUCACAGAAUCACAGAAUUUCUAGGUUGGAAGAGACCUCAAUAUCAUCAAGUCCAACCUCUGAUCUAACACUAACAAGUCCUCCACUAAACCAUAUCACUAAGUUCAACAUCUAAACAUAUUUAAAAGACCUCCAGGGAUGGUGACUCAACCACUUCCCUGGGCAGCCCAUUCCAAUGCCUAACAAAACUCUCAGUAAAGAAGUUCUUCCUAAUAUCCAACCUGAAACUCCCCUGGCGCAACUUUAGCCCAUUCCCCCUCAUCCUGUCACCAGGCACAUGGGAGAAUAGACCAACCCCACCUUGCUACAGUCUCCUUUAAUGUACCUGUAGAGAGUGAUAAGGUCUCCCCUGAGCCUCCUUUUCUCCAGGCUGAACAACCCUAGCUCCCUCAGCUGCUCCUUGUAAGAGUUGUUCUCCAGACCCAUCACCAGGUUGGUCGCCCUUCUCUGGACCUGCUCAAGCACCUCGAUGUCCUUCUUGUAGCAAGGGGCCCAAAACUGAACACAGUACUCGAGGUGCGGCCUCACCAGAGCUGAGUACAGGGGGACAAUCACUUCCCUAGCCCUGCUGGCCACACUGCUUCUUAUGCAAGCCAGGAUGCUGUUGGCCUUCUUGGCCACCUGAGCACACUGCUGGCUCAUAUUCAGCCAACUCUCAGUCAAUACUCCCAGGUCCUUCUCCACCAGGCAGCUUUCCAACCACUCAUCUCUCAGCCUGUAAUGGUAUAAAGAUUCAGUAAAUUUGACACGUAGGAACAGCUCAAACAGAUCAUAUGUUUACCUCAUUUGCAGUUACUUAUCUACUAGAUUGAUUCAGACCAAAAAGCCCCUAAAACCAUACAUGAGAAGAGGACUUCCAAAGUUGAUGGACAAAUUUUAGAAACAUGUGUAACUUUGAACAGGCAAUUAAUAUAUGUGAUAUUUCAGUACUAAACUGGACAUCAGAGAGUUGGCAUAGCCCCCAUCACAGAAAUUUCGAGGCAGUAGUAUUGCCCAACAGGUGUAACUACACAGAGUUUCAGCCAACAAGGAUAUGAUAAGGUAAUUUUUAGUUUUCCAAGCUCAUACAUGAUGAUUACUUUAUGCUUUUCUUUUUACUGUAUUAAAUAUUGCCUCCUUCUCCCCCCCCCCCCCUUUUUUUUUUUUUAAAGAUAGGUAAAUUCACAUGUUUAUGAAGAACUUGGUUAAACAUUUU